AGAGUUUGAUCCUGGCUCAGAACGAACACUGGUGGCGCGUUUUAAGCAUGCAAGUCGAAGGGUAUACAGAAGCUUGCUUCUGUAGAGACUGGCGAACGGGUGAGUAACACGUAGAUAAUCUGCCUUUAGGUUGGGGAUAGCCCAUGGAAACAUGGAGUAAUACCGAAUGUGAUUCAGACAUCAUAAGAUGAUUGAAUGAAAGGUGCUAAGGCAUCGCCUGAAGAUGAGUCUGCGGUUCAUUAGUUAGUUGGUAGGGUAACGGCCUACCAAGGCAGCGAUGAAUAGCCGGCCUGAGAGGGUGACCGGCCACACUGGGACUGAGACACGGCCCAGACUCCUACGGGAGGCAGCAGCUAAGAAUCUUCCGCAAUGGGCGAAAGCCUGACGGAGCGACGCCGCGUGAAUGAAGAAGGCCUAACGGUUGUAAAGUUCUUUUCUUGAGGAGGAAUAAUGCUUAGAGGGAAUGCUAAGCAGAUGACGUUAAUCAAGGAAUAAGCCACGGCCAAUUACGUGCCAGCAGCCGCGGUAAUACGUAAGUGGCAAGUGUUGUUCGGAUUUAUUGGGCGUAAAGGGCGCGUAGGCGGUCUUUCAAGUCUGGUGUGAAAUACCUCAGCUCAACUGAGGGAACGCGUUGGAAACUGUAAGACUAGAGUCUAGGAGGGGAUACUGGAAUUUCUGGUGUAGGGGUGAAAUCUGUAGAUAUCAGGAAGAACACCGGUGGCGAAGGCGAGUAUCUAGCCAUAGACUGACGCUGAGGCGCGAAAGCGUGGGGAGCGAACAGGAUUAGAUACCCUGGUAGUCCACGCUGUAAACGAUGUGCACUAGGUGUUGGGGGGUUUACCUUCAGUGCCGCAGCUAACGCAUUAAGUGCACCGCCUGGGGAGUAUGCUCGCGAGGGUGAAACUCAAAGGAAUUGACGGGGCCCCGCACAAGCGGUGGAGCAUGUGGUUUAAUUCGAAGAUACGCGAGAAACCUUACCAGGGCUUGACAUAUGCAGGAAGUCGUAAGAGAUUGCGAUGUCCUUCGGGACCUGUAUACAGGUACUGCAUGGCUGUCGUCAGCUCGUGCUGUGAAGUGUUGGGUUAAGUCCCGCAACGAGCGCAACCCCUUCUGUCAGUUGCCAACAGGUAAUGCUGGGAACUCUGGCGGUACUGCCGGUGACAAACCGGAGGAAGGUGGGGAUGAUGUCAAGUCAUCAUGGUCCUUAUGUCCUGGGCUACACACGUGCUACAAUGGCAGGUACAAAGCGACGCAAGACCGCGAGGUGGAGCAAAUCGCAUAAAGCUUGUCUCAGUACGGAUUGGAGUCUGAAACUCGACUUCAUGAAGGUGGAAUCGCUAGUAAUCGCGCAUCAGCAUGGCGCGGUGAAUACGUUCCCGGGGCUUGUACACACCGCCCGUCAAACCACCCGAGUUGGGGGUACCCGAAGUCGCUAGUCCAACCAGCAAUGGAGGACGGUGCCGAAGGUAUGCUUGGUAAGGGGGGUUAAGCCGUAACAAGGUA
RNAcentral lists this ribosomal RNA (1503 nucleotides) under metagenome. RNAcentral describes it as "bacterial SSU rRNA". It matches the Rfam family "Bacterial small subunit ribosomal RNA". The record is from RNAcentral.